AUUGAACGCUGGCGGCAGGCUUAACACAUGCAAGUCGAGCGGUAACAGAGAGAAGCUUGCUUCUCUGCUGACGAGCGGCGGACGGGUGAGUAAUGCCUAGGAAUCUGCCUAGUAAUGGGGGAUAACUUGCCGAAAGGUAAGCUAAUACCGCAUACGUCCUACGGGAGAAAGGAGGGGACCUUCGGGCCUUUCGCUAUUAGAUGAGCCUAGGUCGGAUUAGUUAGUUGGUGAGGUAAUGGCUCACCAAGACCGCGAUCCGUAACUGGUCUGAGAUGAUGAUCAGUCACACUGGAACUGAGACACGGUCCAGACUCCUACGGGAGGCAGCAGUGGGGAAUAUUGGACAAGGGGGGGACCCUGAUCCAGCCAUGCCGCGUGUGUGAAGAAGGUCUUAGGAUUGUAAAGCACUUUAAGUUGGGAGGAAGAGCAGUUAACUAAUAUUUGACUGUUUUGACGUUACCGACAGAAUAAGCACCGGCUAACUUCGUGCCAGCAGCCGCCGUAA
This 505-nucleotide ribosomal RNA is filed under the name uncultured bacterium. RNAcentral describes it as "partial 16S ribosomal RNA". It matches the Rfam family "Bacterial small subunit ribosomal RNA", at positions 30 to 523 of the family's 1533-position model. The record is from RNAcentral.